Molecule: ribosomal RNA, 446 nt
Filed under: uncultured bacterium
Lineage: Bacteria
Description: partial 16S ribosomal RNA
Rfam family: Bacterial small subunit ribosomal RNA
Source: RNAcentral
CCUACGGGAGGCAGCAGUCGAGAAUCAUUCACAAUGGGGGAAACCCUGAUGGUGCGACGCCGCGUGGGGGAAUGAAGGUCUUCGGAUUGUAAACCCCUGUCAUGUGGGAGCAAAUGAAAAAGAUAGUACCACAAGAGGAAGAGACGGCUAACUCUGUGCCAGCAGCCGCGGUAAUACAGAGGUCUCAAGCGUUGUUCGGAAUCACUGGGCUUAAAGCGUGCGUAGGCUGUUUCGUAAGUCGUGUGUGAAAGGCGCGGGCUCAACCCGCGGACGGCACAUGAUACUGCGAGACUAGAGUAAUGGAGGGGGAACCGGAAUUCUCGGUGUAGCAGUGAAAUGCGUAGAUAUCGGGAGGAACACUCGUGGCGAAGGCGGGUUCCUGGACAUUAACUGACGCUGAGGCACGAAGGCCAGGGGAGCGAAAGGGAUUAGAUACCCCUGUAGUC